UUAGAGUUUCAUUUUGGCUCAGGAUGAACGCUAGCGGGAGGCUUAACACAUGCAAGUCGAGGGGUAACAGAGGUAGCAAUACUUGCUGACGACCGGCGUACGGGUGAGUAACGCGUAUGCAACCUGCCCUAUACAGGAGGAUAGCCCGAAGAAAUUCGGAUUAAUACUCCAUGCAGCAUAUUUUUCGCAUGAUAAAUAUGUUAAAGAUUUAUCGGUAUAGGAUGGGCAUGCGUCCCAUUAGUUAGUUGGUGAGGUAAUGGCUCACCAAGGCUUCGAUGGGUAUGGGGUCUAAAAGGAUGGUCCCACACACUGGCACUGAGACACGGGCCAGACUCCUACGGGAGGCAGCAGUGAGGAAUAUUGGUCAAUGGGCGAGAGCCUGAACCAGCCAUCCCGCGUGCAGGAUGACAGUCCUAGUGAUUGUAAACUGCUUUUCUAUAAGAUGAAUAAGGACUACGUGUAGUUCGAUGACCGUAUUAUAGGAAUAAGCAUCGGCUAACUCCGUGCCAGCAGCCGCGGUAAUACGGAGGAUGCAAGCGUUAUCCGGAUUUAUUAGGUUUAAAGGGUGCGUAGGUGGGCGUUUAAGUCAGUGGUUAAAGCCAAUAGCUUAACUAUUGUAUGCCAUUGAAACUGGAUGUCUUGAAUAGGGUAGAGGUAGGCGGAAUGUGUUGUGUAGCGGUGAAAUGCUUAGAUAUAACACAGAACACCGAUUGCGAAGGCAGCUUACUAUGCCUUUAUUGACACUGAUGCACGAAAGCGUGGGGAUCAAACAGGAUUAGAUACCCUGGUAGUCCACGCUGU
RNAcentral lists this ribosomal RNA (801 nucleotides) under uncultured bacterium. Its description in RNAcentral is "bacterial SSU rRNA". It matches the Rfam family "Bacterial small subunit ribosomal RNA", at positions 1 to 803 of the family's 1533-position model. The record is from RNAcentral.